RNAcentral lists this ribosomal RNA (405 nucleotides) under uncultured bacterium. RNAcentral's name for it is "bacterial SSU rRNA". It matches the Rfam family "Bacterial small subunit ribosomal RNA", at positions 11 to 420 of the family's 1533-position model. The record is from RNAcentral.
GUUUGAUCCUGGCUCAGAUUGAACGCUGGCGGCAUGCCUUACACAUGCAAGUCGAACGGUAACGCGGGGCAACCUGGCGACGAGUGGCGAACGGGUGAGUAAUGCAUCGGAACGUGCCCAGUAGUGGGGAUAGCCCGGCGAAAGCCGGAUUAAUACCGCAUACGACCUACGGGUGAAAGCGGGGGACCGCAAGGCCUCGCGCUAUUGGAGCGGCCGAUGUCAGAUUAGGUAGUUGGUGGGGUAAAGGCCUACCAAGCCUACGAUCUGUAGCUGGUCUGAGAGGACGACCAGCCACACUGGGACUGAGACACGGCCCAGACUCCUACGGGAGGCAGCAGUGGGGAAUUUUGGACAAUGGGGGGCAACCCUGAUCCAGCCAUGCCGCGUGCGGGAAGAAGGCCUCGG